ACAGUACUUCUGCACAAGUCUCUGCUUGGGGGGACAAUGUUUUAUUCAACUGUUUACCUGGACUGCAUUUUGGUGGAUCAAUAGCAGUAUCAAGCAGACAAUUACCGGACCUGUCUGUCUGUUUUUCUGACUGGAUCCUACAGAUUGGCUGAACCAGAGAGAAAGAGGCGAAGAGAGAGGUUUUACUCUGCCCAAAAUCUGUCCACGAAAAUAAGCUCGCAAAGCGAGGAAUUUUUGUAUGGAGAUAUAUCUAUCAAGGCCCAGAGGACUGGUCCCAGAGAGAGAGAGAGCAGAAGAGAGAGAGAGACAGGGAGGAUGCUGUUGCUUUCUGGCUUCUGAUAAGCUGACAGUUGGAGCCAGGCGGGGUCACCUCCCCUCACCUCCCAGGGGUGUGUGGGUACAGCUCCGGAGCUCCAGAGCCCACGCCCCAGCGGCUCCCUGACUUGCCCAGCGAGGAGAAGUGAAGUGUGGGGAGAGCCGGGCUGCUCUGCUGAGAUGGAGGCCUCAGGCCUGGAGGUACCUCUGGCCUACUCACUUUAGGUCAUGCGAGAUGCAGUCUGCCAGGCCUGCCCCAACCCCCUCAGAGUGAAGAGUGCAAGAGGAGCAGAGCGGUCACUGCUGCUGUUGAGCUGUUGAGCCAUGUACUUCUCACACUCAGUCAUCUCUCUGUCUGCUUCUCUCACUUUGUUUUGGACUGCAUUUCCCUCUCAGUGAUGUCAUGAUAAGCUUUGAAUUCUAACAAAACUAAACCUUUUUUUUGAUACACCCUACAUUGUGAAAUAUCCUUAGGUUAUGAUUUCUAUAUAAAUCAUAUUUAAAUUAUAAACUAGACUAAGUAACACACUGGAGAUGCUUACAAAGACGUAAACUCAUAGUGGUUAUCGUAGUGUUGGGUUGGUGUGUGUGUCCUGCUCAGGCUCAUAGUUUAUAACCCUGAGAGAGAACCAUCCUCUCAUAUCUACUGAUGGCUCCUUUUUAACAAUGGUCGAUCAGCUGCAACAUCAAAGCUCCUGGGUCGGGCUGGAAUAGCUGCAUCUUGGGACCACAUUAGUGAGUGUGUGCAUGAUUUUUCACUGCUUUGAAGUUCCCUGUCUCUCUCCCUCUCUGACCUAUUUGACUAUGGGAGGGGUAGACGUGGGGUGACCACACAUAGAAUGCAUAACCCCAACCCCUUAAAUGUCAUAAAUGCUGGGCAUAGUUGGGGUUGAUGGCAUUUCACAUAAAGACUCACAUAAGACUCACAUAAAAGCAACAGUCAACCAAAGAUACUGGUAACUUUCCCAAGAUAACUCAUCAGCGUCGUUUCCUGUGGCAGCAAAUGAAGCAUAGUGAACAGAACAAACAAAGAGGUGGGCAGAGCCAAGCACAAGCUAGCAAGAUCCUAUUGGCGCGUUUUAGCAUGUAUUUGCAUAUUUCCGUUAGGAAAUGCCUUAUUUGUGAAGUGCCCGUGUGCAACAACUCAACUCAUUCUAAACAACGCAACUUUGGCAAAGGUUCAAGUCUACAAAACUUUGUUUGUAACAGAUUCCAGUUUUGGAAACAGAAAACUGCAUUGAGUUGAAAUGUUUCUUCAAUGAGAAAAUGUGCUGAAUGUCGGACAAGUUUCAACUACUGUAGCUCCAUAUUCUCCCACUUCUCGCCACUGGACUUGCUGUCAUCAGAAUAUUGGGUGGCGAGUGGAAGUUCAAAACGGAUGCUUCAGAUUUAUACAUCCUCUGAGACAUCUGGCUCCUUCUAUCUGUGACUCAAUGCUGCUGAUGUAGCACACAUUUUCAUUUUAAUAAAGCUUCAUUUGAAUUUUCAUUCAAAUUCAAUAACAACUCAUCCAAAUGAAGAGCAAAUUUCAAGAACAAAAUACAAAAAAGAUAUGAUUAUCUCCAAACCACCUUUCAUGUGAUAUCUGUUAAAGUUCCUGUGAGUGUUUGGUAAAACCUUCGCUGAUAUCUUGACAGGAUCUUAUUUUUUAAGUUCUAAAACAACUUCUUGACAUAAAACAUCCAUUGCUUUAUUAGCCUCAAAUCAGACUUUUAUAUUUAGUGUCUAAACAAGGAAUUCCGUUCUUAUCAAAAAGUGAGAAAAAGACAACAUGAUGCACAAAUGAUCAAAUUUCAAAUCAAAUGUAUUUAUUUAUAUAGCCCUUCUUACAUCAGCUGAUAUAUCAAAGUGCUGUACAGAAACCCAGCCUAAAACCCCAAUCAGCAAGCAAUG
Long non-coding RNA from Salmo salar (Atlantic salmon), 2208 nucleotides. RefSeq lists it as uncharacterized. The record is from RefSeq and is a predicted model, not a curated record. NCBI's taxonomy places the organism in Eukaryota, Metazoa, Chordata, Actinopteri, Salmoniformes, Salmonidae.